This 594-nucleotide unclassified non-coding RNA is filed under the name Aspergillus flavus. RNAcentral describes it as "sequence contains 18S rRNA gene, ITS1, 5.8S rRNA gene, ITS2, 28S rRNA gene". The stretch from base 224 to 377 matches the Rfam family "5.8S ribosomal RNA". Lineage: Eukaryota; Fungi; Ascomycota; Eurotiomycetes; Eurotiales; Aspergillaceae. RNAcentral also lists the same sequence under 1 other name. The record is from RNAcentral.
GUAACAAGGUUUCCGUAGGUGAACCUGCGGAAGGAUCAUUACCGAGUGUAGGGUUCCUAGCGAGCCCAACCUCCCACCCGUGUUUACUGUACCUUAGUUGCUUCGGCGGGCCCGCCAUUCAUGGCCGCCGGGGGCUCUCAGCCCCGGGCCCGCGCCCGCCGGAGACACCACGAACUCUGUCUGAUCUAGUGAAGUCUGAGUUGAUUGUAUCGCAAUCAGUUAAAACUUUCAACAAUGGAUCUCUUGGUUCCGGCAUCGAUGAAGAACGCAGCGAAAUGCGAUAACUAGUGUGAAUUGCAGAAUUCCGUGAAUCAUCGAGUCUUUGAACGCACAUUGCGCCCCCUGGUAUUCCGGGGGGCAUGCCUGUCCGAGCGUCAUUGCUGCCCAUCAAGCACGGCUUGUGUGUUGGGUCGUCGUCCCCUCUCCGGGGGGGACGGGCCCCAAAGGCAGCGGCGGCACCGCGUCCGAUCCUCGAGCGUAUGGGGCUUUGUCACCCGCUCUGUAGGCCCGGCCGGCGCUUGCCGAACGCAAAUCAAUCUUUUUCCAGGUUGACCUCGGAUCAGGUAGGGAUACCCGCUGAACUUAAGCAUAUCA